UACAAGAGUACAAUCACAUCGCCACAUAUAUACUGUUGAAUUGUGAAGAACUUCAGCCAUACGAAAGACUUUUUGACGAGGAUGUUUUGGCAACAUAUCCUAAUCUAAGUGGGGAGGAACUUGAAGGAAUGAAGGAACAACAUUAUGCAUCUUGGCUACGAGACUACAUUCAAUCAUGUAGUGAUAGAAUUCCGGCAUGGAUCAGAGAUAUAUCACAUGGACCUGGAAGAAAAGUCAUUUGCUAGUCGAUAAUGUUCACCCGAGGAUACACGUUUCACACUUACGAUCAUGGAAAACAUAAAUCCACGUUCAAUUACGGAGUUUGUAUAAAAAGCGGGCCAUCGGAAGAUCCUGAUUUCUUUGGGGUUCUUCGUCAGAUUUUCCAACUCCAGUAUCCAGGAUUAGUCGGGUUGAAAACAAUCAUAUUCAGAUGUGAUUGGUUUGAUACAACGUCGGGACGCGGCUCACGGAAAAAUCGAUGGGGAGGUAUUGACAUAAACCCGAAACGUUCAUAUGCAAAGUACGAUCCUUUUAUACUUUCAGAUCAGGCAGACCAGGUAUGCUUCAUUCCAUAUCCGAAACAUUCUGCGACAUCGGUGAAACGGCGACGGGAAGAUCAAUGGUCGGCUGUUUUGAAGAUUAACCCACGAAGAUUAAUUAUCGUGGAUUCGUCGUCGACAACACAAGAUCUCGAUGAGCCAAUGCAAGAGCAACUCGAAGAUCCGGUUCUUCCCAUCCGACUAGAUGAUGAUUACGACGAGACACUUGCACUUCCUGACAUAGACGACGAGUUACUUGAUGAUUCGUUACACGUACAAGACGAUAUAGACGAAUUCGUUUCGGACCAUGAUACAACUCCGGAUGAUGAAAGUGAUGAAGAUUCUAUAUAGACUUAUUUGUUUUUAUUGUUUUCA
This is a long non-coding RNA of Tarenaya hassleriana, 914 nucleotides long. RefSeq lists it as uncharacterized. Lineage: Eukaryota; Viridiplantae; Streptophyta; Magnoliopsida; Brassicales; Cleomaceae. The transcript is spliced from 3 exons. The record is from RefSeq and is a predicted model, not a curated record.